Molecule: non-coding RNA, 22 nt
Filed under: Arabidopsis thaliana (thale cress)
Lineage: Eukaryota; Viridiplantae; Streptophyta; Magnoliopsida; Brassicales; Brassicaceae
Source: RNAcentral
GGGUUAAAUGAGUUAUGGUUGA